AUCAGUCGGUUCUGUUACCACCAUUUGCAGAGAUGGAAGCCGAAGCUCAGAGUCAUUAGUUAACUGGCUCAAGGUCACACAGCUAGGACUCUGUGUUUCCCUCCAGGCAUGUCAACCACAGCAUCCACGCUCUUAUCCUCAACACCAAUGUCACUGCUCCUGUGUGGGACAGAGGUUCACAGCAUGGCAAUGAGCAAAACCUUUAUGCACAUCCGCAUUCACAUGACUGAGCUACAGAUGGUCAGCCAAAGAAGAUAACGAUGAAAGUUCAAGGUUGCAGAGAGUCAGAGGCACAUAUUAGCUUUAAAGAGAAAGUCAGUACUUUGUAGGGAGGGGCCUUCCUCUGGUCCCAGGGAAAUGGCUCCCAGGCUGUGGUGCAGGAUAGCCGGGCUCUGUGAAAAGGCUGCCUUUUGAAGCAUUUUUCUGAAAGAGGGAUGAUCAAAGCUGAUAUCCUCCACAGGACUUUCCUGGCAGUCCAGAGGUUGGGAAUUAGCCUUCCAGUGCAGAGCAUGGUGGCUCUCUCCCUGGUUGGGGAACUAAGAUCCCACAUGCCUUGGGGCCAAAACAUAAAAACAAAAGCAAUAUUGUAACAAAUUCAAUAAAGAUUUUUAAAAUUAUUCAAAUCAAAAAAAUCUUAAAAAAAAAAAAAAAAAAGCUGACGUCUUUCUUGAAUGAAGCACUCAGAGCCACUGAGAGCCCCACAAUAGCAUCCCUGAGAUGAGUGCUUGUCCACUUCUGUGCUCCCGCUUUAAGAGGAGGGUGGGCAAGGUCAGGUUACUGAGGGUGCAGGUAGAGGGAGGGGCGAGCAGUGGGGACAAUGACUAAUAGUGGGAGCCCUGUAAAAGGGCAGCUGGGAAGAUUGUCACAAGCACAAGCGGGAGACAGGGGGCAGACAUCCAGAGGAAGUGGUUUUCCUGAAGGCUUGCUAAGAGCACCAGAGGUUCUGGGAACACUGAGGACGUCGUGGGAAGUCAAAUUCAGCCUGAUUUCCAUUGAAGGCCAUGUUGUUGUGGCUUCAAGACAAGGCUUGAAUGCUCUCCUGAACUUCGGGACACAGGUGCCAGGCUCCCAAACAAUUGAGUCCACCUUCGAGGAUCAGAAGGGAAAGCAAGAGCAGAAGCACUUGGUCUGUUGCAAAGUGGGAGCUAUUGCCCUCAAGUUGAGGUCAGCAGCCUUCACAUACAGAUGGUGUUCUUGGAAAGAUGUACAAGAAUCCACGUUGGCCAGACUGCUUCUGGAUCCAGUGCCUCCACGAUGCAGAGAUCAUAUCCAAAGCCCACAGAGGGCAAUGUAGCAAAGACGUUUAAAAAACAUGAAGUCAAGAAUCAAGCAGACCUGGUUCCAAGCCUAGCUCUGCCUCUCAACACCCUCUUCUUGUAAGUUUCUUAACCCUUCUGAGCCUCAAUCUUACUUAUCUGUAAAAUGACCAUAAUGUUAAUAACUCCCUCAAGAUUGUUGUGAAAAUUAAAUGAGAUUAGGCUUAGUGGAGUGUUUAGUUGCUGAUACGUGCUAACAGAAAUAAUAUUAUCAUUAUGUUUAUUCAUCUCUGAAGAUGCCUUGUAAGUGAACCAUCUCUCUUCACAGAGAAUGAGCCAUUUUGCAAAUAUUACUCCACCUGGGAAAGAAGAAAAGACCCCUGCUGACGGUGGGGAAAGAAAUUAAAUGGACACAGGUAGACUUCUGCCUUCAGCUCUUUGAUCAAGGCUAGUUAGGACUCUGCAGGGAGCCUUUCAGAUCCUACAGAGGAGACACUCCUUAAAUAGUUCACAUCAUUGUAUGUUUAUGGUUUCAGAGUAAAUGAGGAUCUUUGAAGAGUGGUCUUCCAUCAGUCAUGUUCUUUCCUCUGCUCAUAGAAAAAGAUCACUUCAUUUGGUGCUGGGAUGUGACCAUAAAAAUAGGGAUGGCAGACACAAGGCAGUGAAGUAAAACCCUGCCAGCUGAGUGGGACUUUGCAUCAUGACUAAUGAAAAAGGGAUGGCAUGACAGUGGCCAUUCAUUAGGAAACGUUUGACUUUCCCCAUCCCUGAUGAUGGAGUUAUACAGCCAAGCUUGCCAAGAGGACGUGAGGGAUGAGUUUUUUGAGACUGAGACCUCAAAAGAGAGAAGGUAUGAAGUCCAUCACUUCAGCUGAUUGCACACCAAGAUGUAUAAACUAUGUUGACAAAUUCCCACCAACAUGUAUAAACUACUUUGGCCAGCAGAAUCUCAUCGCAGCUGCCUAUGUCAGGGCAUGCAUGUGAGUGUGUGUGUGUGUGUGUGUGAGUGACUCAGUCACUUAGUCAUGUCCAACUCUUUACAAACCUCUGAACUGUAGGACUGUAGAUUGCUGGGAUCCUCUUUCCACUGGAUCCUCCAGGCAAGAAUACUGAAGUGGGUUGCCAUGCCCUCCUCCAGGGGAUCUUCCCAACCCAAGGAUCAAACCGCCAUCUUUUGCAUCUCCUGCAUUGCAGGCAGGUUCUUUACUGCUGAGCCACUGGGGAAGCCCUGCCAGGGUAUCACCGGCCAAAGUACAACUAAAUGGUAGGGUUCAUGGCCAAGAUGAACUGGAAGAAUUUUUAAAAAAAAGAGAGAGGAAUGAAAAAGUUUGCCAGAUGUUCAACAGGAAUCUCCCUAAAACAAACAAAAAAAUCAAAAGCCAUUUUUCUCAGCUAUAUAUCUGCUAUGAUAUUAACAUCUUCAUUUAGAUAUCAAUUUGUUGACUUUUAAAACAUGGAGAAGUCAGGGUCACAGAGUUAAAGAACCUCUCCCUUGUCUAAGACCUACAAUGUCUUCAUUUCUAUUAAAAUUGGGCAAAUAAUUCCCAAAUGCCAAUGGGGAGUCCAGGGCUGGUCAGAAUCAUCUGAGAAACAUACGGGAACUACGGAUGCCGUGAACUUACCCCACACAGACUUACUGGGACCCCAGGGGUGGGGCCCCAUGGUUUUAAGCAUCUUGCCAACAUCCGCUGGAUCAUGGAAAAAGCAAGAGAGUUCCAGAAAAACAUCUAUUUCUGCUUUAUUGACUAUGCCAAAGCCUUUGACUGUGUGGAUCACAAUAAACUGUGGGAAAUUCUGAAAGAGAUGGGAAUA
This 3068-nucleotide long non-coding RNA is filed under the name Bos indicus x Bos taurus (hybrid cattle). Its description in RNAcentral is "lncRNA (ENSBIXG00000019418.1)". The record is from RNAcentral. Lineage: Eukaryota; Metazoa; Chordata; Mammalia; Artiodactyla; Bovidae.